UGGUGGGUAGUUUGACUGGGGCGGUCUCCUCCUAAAGAGUAACGGAGGAGCACGAAGGUUAGCUAAUCCUGGUCGGACAUCAGGAGGUUAGUGCAAAGGCAUAAGCUAGCUUGACUGCGAGAGUGACGGCUCGAGCAGGUGCGAAAGCAGGUCUUAGUGAUCCGGUGGUUCUGAAUGGAAGGGCCAUCGCUCAACGGAUAAAAGGUACUCCGGGGAUAACAGGCUGAUACCGCCCAAGAGUUCAUAUCGACGGCGGUGUUUGGCACCUCGAUGUCGGCUCAUCACAUCCUGGGGCUGAAGUAGGUCCCAAGGGUAUGGCUGUUCGCCAUUUAAAGUGGUACGCGAGCUGGGUUUAGAACGUCGUGAGACAGUUCGGUCCCUAUCUGCCGUGGGCGCUGGAGAAUUGAGGGGGGCUGCUCCUAGUACGAGAGGACCGGAGUGGACGCAUCACUGGUGUUCGGGUUGUCAUGCCAAUGGCAUUGCCCGGUAGCUAAAUGCGGAAGAGAUAAGUGCUGAAAGCA
RNAcentral lists this ribosomal RNA (521 nucleotides) under Citrobacter freundii. RNAcentral describes it as "partial 23S ribosomal RNA". It matches the Rfam family "Bacterial large subunit ribosomal RNA", at positions 2259 to 2779 of the family's 2925-position model. Lineage: Bacteria; Pseudomonadati; Pseudomonadota; Gammaproteobacteria; Enterobacterales; Enterobacteriaceae. The record is from RNAcentral.